CAAAAUACAGUUAUUGCAGGUACAAACGUUACACACAAAGAUUCACAUUUAAUUCAAAUAAAGAACGGAUUAGUUUAUUUCAAGACGCCACUUGUACAUCUACAGAACACUGUAAGAGAGGCGAAAGAUACCGAAAUGACAUUUUAACUCAUUAGUCGAAAAUAAACUGUUGUCAAUGUAAUGACUAAAAAAGAGAAGGCCAACAGAUAAACACAAUAUAGAAAAAUAAAGAAUAAGCAACACAAACUGCGUCCAAAACUGGGGGUGAUUUUCGUUGAACCGAAAGCGUAAGCUGAUCUUGCUUCACAUGUCACGGGAAUUCGUCGUUUUCAUUGCUCAUGUUAGUAAAAACCCUGUUUUGAGCCUAAAUCAGCAGGUCAAAUUCGGGGAAAGAUACGUUCAAUGGCUCUUCAACACAGCGGAAAAAUACCGCACCGGUAGAGGAAUUCAGCUGGUCCCUUAAUAAAAAUGUAUAUUAGUUCGGCGAAAUGAACGCAAACUACAAACAUCCAUACAAAUGAAAAAAAAGAACCCAACAUAUUACACUAACAAAGGCUAGAGGUUCCUGAAUUGUAACAGGCGCAAACAUGCAACGGAAAAAAAAACAUGCUUUGUGAGAUCUCAACCAUCUCUUAUAUCUCUAGCUAAUGUGAAUAAAAAAAACCACAGCGAUACACACCG
This 681-nucleotide long non-coding RNA is filed under the name Mytilus galloprovincialis (Mediterranean mussel). The record is from RNAcentral. Lineage: Eukaryota; Metazoa; Mollusca; Bivalvia; Mytilida; Mytilidae.